UACGGAGGGUGCAAGCGUUAAUCGGAAUUACUGGGCGUAAAGCGCACGCAGGUGGCUGAGUCAGUCGAUUGUGAAAGCCCUGGGCUUAACCUGGGAAUUGCAGUCGAUACUACUCAGCUAGAGUAUGGGAGAGGGUAGUGGAAUUCCCGGUGUAGCGGUGAAAUGCGUAGAUAUCGAGAGGAACAUCAGUGGCGAAGGCGGCUACCUGGCCCAAUACUGACACUCAGGUGCGACAGCGUGGGGAGCAAACAGG
RNAcentral lists this ribosomal RNA (253 nucleotides) under uncultured bacterium. RNAcentral's name for it is "partial 16S ribosomal RNA". It matches the Rfam family "Bacterial small subunit ribosomal RNA", at positions 524 to 776 of the family's 1533-position model. The record is from RNAcentral.